Limulus polyphemus (Atlantic horseshoe crab) is the source of this 525-nucleotide long non-coding RNA. RefSeq lists it as uncharacterized. The record is from RefSeq and is a predicted model, not a curated record. The transcript has 2 exons. Lineage: Eukaryota; Metazoa; Arthropoda; Merostomata; Xiphosura; Limulidae.
CUUGUUACAGAUAAUCAGUUCUUCACUCCUCUUUAAAGCAUCACUGAACAGGACUUCUAGUGUGACUUGUUACAGAUAAUCGGUUCUUCACUGCUCUUUAAAGCAUCACUGAACAGGUCUUCUAGUGUGACUUGUUACAGAUAAUCGGUUCUUCACUCCUCUUUAAAGCAUCACUGAACAGGACUUCUAGUGUGACUUGUUAAAAUAAUCGGUUAUGCAUUCCUCUUUAAAGUAUCACUGAACAGGACUUCUAGUGUGACUUGUUACAGAUAAUUGGUUCUUCACUCCUGUUUAAAGCAUCACUGAACAGGACUUCUAGUGUGACUUGUUACAGAUAAUCGGUUCUUCACUCCUCUUUAAAGCAUCACUGAACAGGACUUCUAGUGUGACUUGUUAUAUAUGGUUCUUUACACACCUUUAAUGUUCUGAACAUCUUCCUGUGUUUAUAAACUAAUUGGAUUAUACUUGUUGUAUUGGGUGAUAAUCAGUUUUCAAUAAAAGUGAAUAAAGUUAAAGAAAAAAUCA